This 192-nucleotide ribosomal RNA is filed under the name uncultured bacterium. RNAcentral's name for it is "partial 16S ribosomal RNA". It matches the Rfam family "Bacterial small subunit ribosomal RNA", at positions 328 to 540 of the family's 1533-position model. The record is from RNAcentral.
ACGCUCGACACCUACGGGGGCAGCAGUGGGGAAUAUUGCACAAUGGGGGAAACCCUGAUGCAGCGACGCCGCGUGGAGGAAGAAGGUCUUCGGAUUGUAAACUCCUGUUGUUGGGGAAAAAGAGGAUGGUACCCAACAAGGAAGUGACGGCUAACUACGUGCCANGCGCGGUAGUAUNGCGGCGNGNGAGNG